CACAGGUGAAAGGUUGAUAACUUUACCGUUGGACAUAUGAUGAUCCCUUCUGUGUCAGUGUAACUGUGGGUCAGAGAACCGUCCCUGUAUUUGCAUGGAAGUGUAGCACUCCUUGUGUUCCUAGGAUGGGGGGGGGGCACUAUGCAUGUGCCUGAAAGCAGCCAGCAGCCAGACCAGUGGGCUGCAGGGAUCUGUGGCCCAGUGAUAUGUGUGCCACAUUGUCUGUUCAAUAGAGGCCUUUGAAUUUUUAAACAGCAUCAGUUACUUCAUACUGUCAUUGUUUUGGCACCAUUUGCCUUGCUUAAUCCUGUUUCAGAUGAUGUCCAGUACGCCACGGCUGCUCCAGCCAAUAAACAAGGUGACUAACAAUGGAAGAGGGCCGGGAAUGAAGAGAGGGAGACAGGCUAACCACCACACCACACAGAUAGAAACAAGGGGGGAGAGGACAUUUUAUAGCUAGAACUUGCCUUUGUUUUAUGGCUACGUUGACACUCUUUUGAAAAAGUAUGUGCUUUACUGUGUGUUUACAGCAGUUUUUACUUGUCUGUAUUUAAUAAAUAUAUCCUUUCAAAUUGUUCUAAGAAUAUCAGAGAUGUAUUGAGGGAUGAAGCCCACUAAAUGUAAUUUUUUAAUUUGUUUAAUAAAGUUGAUGUCAGUUUAAUCAGGAAAGGAUCCUCUGUGGGAAAUUAUGAUGCGCACUAAUGCUUUUCUGAAAAUAUAUUAGAUUUUUGUUUGUGUUCCUGAUGAUUUGGAGGUAUUACUGUAAUCUGUAAACUUUUAUUUUACACAAAAUCCAAUAGGACUUUGGUAUUUUAUCUCCCUUUUCUCUGGCUUUCAAUUUGAAAUCAUGAUGUCGUUUAAGAUCAAAAUAAGCAGGUAUUUGUCCGUGAACAAUGCAACAGAGUAUAAUGUAUUAUUUGCUUUUAUCCUGUCCCACAAUAUGCUUUCAUAGAGUUACCAUGUUAGAAUUUAAAUAGUCAUUCUGGGACUGAAGGCAAGAAUACUAUUUAACAUUUUUGUAUAUUGCUGUCACUGGUGUGUCUCCCUGAGCAAAAUUAAUUAUCACCUUUGCCCCAAAGAAAAUGCAAUUAAAAAGUAGAGGUAAUGGUUUUUUCUCCAAAAGGAAACGGGACGAUAGUUUUGUCCCCAAUUCAUUGCUUUUUGAUAAUGUGUGUAUCAGACAAAUUGUUGUACUCUUCCAUAAAAUCUUUUUUUUUCCUUCA
Siniperca chuatsi (mandarin fish) is the source of this 1223-nucleotide long non-coding RNA. RefSeq lists it as uncharacterized. NCBI's taxonomy places the organism in Eukaryota, Metazoa, Chordata, Actinopteri, Centrarchiformes, Sinipercidae. The record is from RefSeq and is a predicted model, not a curated record. The transcript has 2 exons.